AGCUGGGCACCCCGGCUGUUGUGUCUCAUUCCUGAUACGCGCUGGCCAUUUUCUGACCUUCUUUUCUUGGGUUCUGCGCGCCUUGCGGGCCGGCUUCCCGCAGCCAGCGCGCCGCAGCCGCCUCGUCGCGCGGCCGGUGACACUGAUACAAAUCCGUUCAAGAAUUUAGAUGUGACAUCUGCAGCAGGUUCAGAUCUCUCAGCUAUAAGACAAACUGGAUACUUCAUAAAGAUUGUCAUCUAUUAUGCGCAGAGAGCCAAAAUCCGUUACUGAGAUUGUCUGGGUGAACUGCCUGCUGGGUCCAGUGAUGCACUAGUAGACAGAGAAGUUGAAAAAGAAGGCUGGCAUAUUCUUUGGAUGACUGGCAGAAUGUGACACCAAUAUGGCAUCGAGCCCUACUGUGAUUCCAAGAACUGCAUGACUAAAUAAAAAUGAUUUUUUUGGCAGGG
Lagenorhynchus albirostris (white-beaked dolphin) is the source of this 449-nucleotide long non-coding RNA. RefSeq lists it as uncharacterized. Lineage: Eukaryota; Metazoa; Chordata; Mammalia; Artiodactyla; Delphinidae. The record is from RefSeq and is a predicted model, not a curated record. The transcript is spliced from 2 exons.